AUGGUUCGAUUAUGGCUCAGGAUGAACGCUGGCGGCGUGCUUAACACAUGCAAGUCGAGCGAAGCACUUAUGAUUGACUUUUCGGAGGAUUUCAUUAGUGACUGAGCGGCGGACGGGUGAGUAACGCGUGGGUAACCUGCCUCAUACAGGGGGAUAACAGUUAGAAAUGACUGCUAAUACCGCAUAAGCGCACAGUACCGCAUGGUACAGUGUGAAAAACUCCGGUGGUAUGAGAUGGACCCGCGUUUGAUUAGCUAGUUGGUGAGGUAACGGCCCACCAAGGCGACGAUCAAUAGCCGACCUGAGAGGGUGACCGGCCACAUUGGGACUGAGACACGGCCCAA
RNAcentral lists this ribosomal RNA (344 nucleotides) under uncultured bacterium. RNAcentral's name for it is "bacterial SSU rRNA". It matches the Rfam family "Bacterial small subunit ribosomal RNA", at positions 8 to 334 of the family's 1533-position model. The record is from RNAcentral.